UGCCAGCCGCCGCGGUAAUACGGAGGGGGUUAGCGUUGUUCGGAAUUACUGGGCGUAAAGCGUGCGUAGGCGGAUCGACAAGUUGGGGGUGAAAUCCCGGGGCUUAACCUCGGAACUGCCCUUGAUACUGGAGAUCUCGAGUCCGGAAGAGGUGAGUGGAAUUCCCAGUGUAGAGGUGAAAUUCGUAGAUAUUGGGAAGAACACCAGUGGCGAAGGCGGCUCACUGGUCCGGUACUGACGCUGAGGUGCGAAAGCGUGGGGAGCAAACAGGAUUAGAUA
RNAcentral lists this ribosomal RNA (279 nucleotides) under uncultured bacterium. RNAcentral describes it as "partial 16S ribosomal RNA". It matches the Rfam family "Bacterial small subunit ribosomal RNA", at positions 506 to 784 of the family's 1533-position model. The record is from RNAcentral.